This 407-nucleotide ribosomal RNA is filed under the name uncultured bacterium. RNAcentral describes it as "partial 16S ribosomal RNA". It matches the Rfam family "Bacterial small subunit ribosomal RNA", at positions 355 to 774 of the family's 1533-position model. The record is from RNAcentral.
UCGAGAAUCUUCCACAAUGGACGAAAGUCUGAUGGAGCGACGCCGCGUGAUUGAUGAAGUCCCUUUGGGACGUAAAGAUCUUUUAUAAGGGAAGAAGUUUAUUGACUGUACCUUAUGAAUAAGAGGUUCCUAAUCUCGUGCCAGCAGGAGCGGUAAUACGAGAGCCUCGAGCGUUAUCCGGAAUUAUUGGGCGUAAAGGGUGCGUAGGUUGUUUUAUUAGUCUUUUGUUAAAAUCUCGGGCUUAACCUGAGAAUCGCGAAAGAAACGGUAAAACUUGAAAGUGUGAGAGGCGUACGGAACUUAUGGUGUAGGGGUGAAAUCCGUUGAUAUCAUAGGGAACACCAAAUGCGAAGGCAGUACGCUGGCGCAUAUUUGACACUGAAGCACGAAAGCGUGGGUAGCGAAUG